RNAcentral lists this ribosomal RNA (530 nucleotides) under uncultured bacterium. RNAcentral's name for it is "bacterial SSU rRNA". It matches the Rfam family "Bacterial small subunit ribosomal RNA", at positions 979 to 1509 of the family's 1533-position model. The record is from RNAcentral.
CCUUGACAUACUAAGAACUUUCCAGAGAUGGAUUGGUGCCUUCGGGAACUCAGAUACAGGUGCUGCAUGGCUGUCGUCAGCUCGUGUCGUGAGAUGUUGGGUUAAGUCCCGNAACGAGCGCAACCCUUUUCCUAUUUGCCAGCGGGUCAUGCCGGGAACUUUAAGGAUACUGCCAGUGACAAACUGGAGGAAGGCGGGGACGACGUCAAGUCAUCAUGGCCCUUACGGCCAGGGCUACACACGUGCUACAAUGGUCGGUACAAAGGGUUGCUACCUCGCGAGAGGAUGCUAAUCUCAAAAAGCCGAUCGUAGUCCGGAUCGCAGUCUGCAACUCGACUGCGUGAAGUCGGAAUCGCUAGUAAUCGCGGAUCAGAAUGCCGCGGUGAAUACGUUCCCGGGCCUUGUACACACCGCCCGUCACACCAUGGGAGUUUGUUGCACCAGAAGUAGGUAGUCUAACCGCAAGGAGGACGCUUACCACGGUGUGGCCGAUGACUGGGGUGAAGUCGUAACAAGGUAAGCGUAGAUGA